Molecule: long non-coding RNA, 314 nt
Organism: Nasonia vitripennis (jewel wasp)
Lineage: Eukaryota; Metazoa; Arthropoda; Insecta; Hymenoptera; Pteromalidae
Exons: 3
Source: RefSeq, a predicted model, not a curated record
UUUUUUUCAGGAUUUUAACGCUGCAAACACAGAGUCGGAUGGACGCUUUAAGCUAAUCCAUCACGUAUUUCCCAUGUAUUUUCACUAUGAUUGAAAAUAGUAAAAUAAUGGGCUAAACCUCCACUAACAUUUGAACCGGUGAACGCAAUAAGUCCUGAUAACGAAUUUUCUACUACAUCAUCUCUGUAACAGUCUUCUGUGUCUAUUAUUAAAUAGGAAUUAAUGUUAUACGUCAAACUUGCAUAGUUAGAACAAUUUUGGCAAUACACGUUUGUAUUAUGUAAAGAAUUUGUUAUUUCUUUUUCCAAACAAGA